GUAGGGAAUAUUGCACAAUGGAGGAAACUCUGAUGCAGCGACGCCGCGUGAGUGAUGAAGGCCUUCGGGUCGUAAAACUCUGUGAUAAGGGAGGAGGAUGACGGUACCUUAUCAGAAAGACCGGCUAACUUCGUGCCAGCAGCCGCGGUAAUACGAGGGGUCUAAGCGGUGUUCGGAAUCACUGGGCGUAAAGCGGGUGUAGGUGGCUAUGCAAGUUGGAUGUGAAAGCCCCGGGCUCAACCCGGGAAGUGCAUCCAAAACUACGUAGCUUGAGUGCGGGAGAGAAAGGCAGAAUUCCUGGUGUAGUGGUGAAAUACGUAGAUAUCAGGAGGAACUCCGGUGGCGAAGGCGGCCUUUUGGCCCAGCACUGACACUCAGACCCGAAAGCGUGGGUAGCAAACAGGAUUAGAAACCAGUGUAGUCC
RNAcentral lists this ribosomal RNA (424 nucleotides) under uncultured bacterium. Its description in RNAcentral is "partial 16S ribosomal RNA". It matches the Rfam family "Bacterial small subunit ribosomal RNA", at positions 354 to 796 of the family's 1533-position model. The record is from RNAcentral.